Long non-coding RNA from Passer domesticus (house sparrow), 458 nucleotides. RefSeq lists it as uncharacterized. NCBI's taxonomy places the organism in Eukaryota, Metazoa, Chordata, Aves, Passeriformes, Passeridae. The transcript is spliced from 3 exons. The record is from RefSeq and is a predicted model, not a curated record.
UUUGGUUACACUGAAACCAGGACAACUUGCUUGGUGGAGUGACUGGGGCUUCUUAAUGCAAAUCAACAGGCUCUCACUGAAUUCAGUGCAGCUCUCCUGGCAAAAGAUUCUCAAGUCGUGCCACCAAAGCAACAAAACAAGAAGAGAUAGCUGUGCACCUGUGAGCCUGGCUGCCUGUUCCCAGCAGGACAAGAGUCACAUUUAUUUGUGAGCAUCCCUCUCUGAGCAAGCAGGAUGCCUCCAAGAUGAAAGCUGCUCUACAGGUUUGCUUUGGAUUUGAGAAGCAGCUGCAGCACAAACCCAGCUGAAUAUCUACACCUCCAGACACAGAUGUGUGAUGUGUGCAGGAAUUCCAGCUGCUGCUGUAGUUCCACAAGUUAGCAAGGAAACAUCCACUGAAAUGCUGGCUGGUAACUGCAGCAGGUCAGGGAACACAAAAGGUUAGAUCAUAAACUAAC